This 468-nucleotide ribosomal RNA is filed under the name uncultured bacterium. Its description in RNAcentral is "partial 16S ribosomal RNA". It matches the Rfam family "Bacterial small subunit ribosomal RNA", at positions 28 to 507 of the family's 1533-position model. The record is from RNAcentral.
GACGAACGCUGGCGGCAUGCUUAACACAUGCAAGUCGAACGGAAAGGCCCGGCUUUGUGGGGGUGCGCGAGGGGCGAACGGGGGAGUAACACUUGAGUAACCUGCCCUUGACUUUGGGAUAACUUCAGGCAACUUGGGCUAAUACCGGGUAGGAUCUCCUGCUGUAUGGUGGGGGUUGGAAAGUUUCGGCGGUUGGGUAUGGACUCGCGGCUUAUCAGCUUGUUGGUGGGGUUGUGGCUUACCAAGGCUUUGACGGGUAGCCGGCCUGAGAGGGUGACCGGCCACAUUGGGACUGAGAUAAGGCACAGACUAAUACGGGAGGCAGCAGUGGGGAAUAUUGCACAAUGGGCGGAAGCCUGAUGCAGCAACGCCGCGUGCGGGAUGACGGCCUUCGGGUUGUAAACCGCUUUCGCCUGUGACGAAGCGUGAGUGACGGUAAUGGGUAAAGAAGCACCGGCUAACUACGUG